Molecule: long non-coding RNA, 338 nt
Organism: Nicotiana tabacum (common tobacco)
Lineage: Eukaryota; Viridiplantae; Streptophyta; Magnoliopsida; Solanales; Solanaceae
Source: RefSeq, a predicted model, not a curated record
UUUCAACAGUCAUUUUAAAUAUGCCUCAUCCUUUUCCCUUUCUUCCUUCCACGUUAGAGGCCCGUCAGUGUGGUGUGUUUUUUCUUUGUGGUAACGUUCUCUUCAUCUUAUUUCUCCAAUUGCUAGAGUUUAACAGGGUUUCAAUGUUAGGGGAUUUGGAAGAAGGGGAGGCGGAUAACGACUUUCAUUUUCAUUGUCAAGUAUUUAGGCUGUCAGAGAAUACAAGAUGAAUCCCACCAAGGUUUCCAUAGGACAUGAUGUUUUUACUGUAAAUGUCCUAGCUGCAGAGGUAACAGUAUAAUAGUAUGGACGUAAUGAUUUCUUCUUCUUGUAGUACC